GACGAACGCUGGCGGCGUGCCUAAUACAUGCAAGUCGAACGCUGAAGGAGGAGCUUGCUUCUCUGGAUGAGUUGCGAACGGGUGAGUAACGCGUAGGUAACCUGCCUGGUAGCGGGGGAUAACUAUUGGAAACGAUAGCUAAUACCGCAUAAUAGUAGAUGUUGCAUGACAUUUGCUUAAAAGGUGCAAUUGCAUCACUACCAGAUGGACCUGCGUUGUAUUAGCUAGUUGGUGGGGUAACGGCUCACCAAGGCGACGAUACAUAGCCGACCUGAGAGGGUGAUCGGCCACACUGGGACUGAGACACGGCCCAGACUCCUACGGGAGGCAGCAGUAGGGAAUCUUCGGCAAUGGACGGAAGUCUGACCGAGCAACGCCGCGUGAGGGAAGAAGGUUUUCGGAUCGUAAAGCUCUGUUGUAAGAGAAGAACGAGUGUGAGAGUGGAAAGUUCACACUGUGACGGUAUCUUACCAGAAAGGGACGGCUAACUACGUG
RNAcentral lists this ribosomal RNA (495 nucleotides) under uncultured bacterium. Its description in RNAcentral is "partial 16S ribosomal RNA". It matches the Rfam family "Bacterial small subunit ribosomal RNA", at positions 28 to 507 of the family's 1533-position model. The record is from RNAcentral.